RNAcentral lists this ribosomal RNA (253 nucleotides) under uncultured bacterium. RNAcentral's name for it is "partial 16S ribosomal RNA". It matches the Rfam family "Bacterial small subunit ribosomal RNA", at positions 524 to 776 of the family's 1533-position model. The record is from RNAcentral.
UACGUAGGGUGCAAGCGUUAAUCGGACUUACUGGGCGUAAAGCGUGCGCAGGCGGUUCUAUAAGACAGCUGUGAAAUCCCCGGGCUCAACCUGGGAACUGCAUUUGUGACUGUAGAGCUGGAGUACGGUAGAGGGGGAUGGAAUUCCGCGUGUAGCAGUGAAAUGCGUAGAUAUGCGGAGGAACACCGAUGGCGAAGGCAAUCCCCUGGACCUGUACUGACGCUCAUGCACGAAAGCGUGGGGAGCAAACAGG